GCCGUUAUAGUAUAGUGGUCAGUACUUCCGCUUGUGGCGCGGACAACGUAGGUUCGAUUCCUGCUAACGGCA
Non-coding RNA from Podospora appendiculata, 72 nucleotides. The record is from the annotation of a GenBank genome assembly. Lineage: Eukaryota; Fungi; Ascomycota; Sordariomycetes; Sordariales; Podosporaceae.